CCUACGGGCGGCUGCAGUGAGGAAUAUUGGUCAAUGGACGAGAGUCUGAACCAGCCAAGUAGCGUGAAGGAUGACUGCCCUAUGGGUUGUAAACUUCUUUUAUAAAGGAAUAAACCGAGGCACGCGUGCCUUUUUGCAUGUACUUUAUGAAUAAGGAUCGGCUAACUCCGUGCCAGCAGCCGCGGUAAUACGGAGGAUCCGAGCGUUAUCCGGAUUUAUUGGGUUUAAAGGGAGCGUAGAUGGGGUGUUAAGUCAGUUGUGAAAGUUUGCGGCUCAACCGUAAAAUUGCAAUUGAUACUGGCAGUCUGGAGUACAGUGGAGGUAGACGGAAUACGUGGUGUAGCGGUGAAAUGCUUAGAUAGCACGAAGAACCCCGAGUGCGAGGGCAGCUUACUAAACUGUGACUGACAUUGAUGCUCGAGAGUGUGGGUAUCAAACAGGAUUAGAGACACCUGUAGUC
This 460-nucleotide ribosomal RNA is filed under the name uncultured bacterium. Its description in RNAcentral is "partial 16S ribosomal RNA". It matches the Rfam family "Bacterial small subunit ribosomal RNA", at positions 338 to 795 of the family's 1533-position model. The record is from RNAcentral.